Molecule: ribosomal RNA, 500 nt
Filed under: uncultured bacterium
Lineage: Bacteria
Description: partial 16S ribosomal RNA
Rfam family: Bacterial small subunit ribosomal RNA
Source: RNAcentral
AACGAACGCUGGCGGCGUGCCUAAUACAUGCAAGUCGAGCGGACCUCUUCGGAGGUUAGCGGCGGACGGGUGAGUAACACGUGGGCAACCUGCCUGUAAGACUGGGAUAACUCCGGGAAACCGGAGCUAAUACCGGAUAGUCUCUUGAACCGCACGGUUCAAGUUGGAAAGACGGUUUCGGCUGUCACUUACAGAUGGGCCCGCGGCGCAUUAGCUAGUUGGUGAGGUAAUGGCUCACCAAGGCAACGAUGCGUAGCCGACCUGAGGGGGUGAUCGGCCACACUGGGACUGAGACACGGCCCAGACUCCUACGGGAGGCAGCAGUAGGGAAUCUUCCGCAAUGGACGAAAGUCUGACGGAGCAACGCCGCGUGAGUGAUGAAGGUUUUCGGAUCGUAAAACUCUGUUGUUAGGGAAGAACAAGUGCGAGAGUAACUGCUCGCACCUUGACGGUACCUAACCAGAAAGCCACGGCUAACUAUGUGCCAGCAGCCGCCGUAA